Molecule: ribosomal RNA, 464 nt
Filed under: uncultured bacterium
Lineage: Bacteria
Description: partial 16S ribosomal RNA
Rfam family: Bacterial small subunit ribosomal RNA
Source: RNAcentral
CUACGGGAGGCAGCAGUGGGGAAUAUUGCACAAUGGGCGCAAGCCUGAUGCAGCCAUGCCGCGUGUAUGAAGAAGGCCUUCGGGUUGUAAAGUACUUUCAGUCGUGAGGAAGGUGGUGUUGUUAAUAGCAACAUCAUUUGACGUUAGCGACAGAAGAAGCACCGGCUAACUCCGUGCCAGCAGCCGCGGUAAUACGGAGGGUGCGAGCGUUAAUCGGAAUUACUGGGCGUAAAGCGCAUGCAGGUGGUUCGUUAAGUCAGAUGUGAAAGCCCGGGGCUCAACCUCGGAACUGCAUUUGAAACUGGCGGACUAGAGUACUGUAGAGGGGGGUAGAAUUUCAGGUGUAGCGGUGAAAUGCGUAGAGAUCUGAAGGAAUACCGGUGGCGAAGGCGGCCCCCUGGACAGAUACUGACACUCAGAUGCGAAAGCGUGGGGAGCAAACAGGAUUAGAUACCCCGGUAGUC